RNAcentral lists this long non-coding RNA (285 nucleotides) under Homo sapiens (human). RNAcentral describes it as "non-protein coding lnc-AMPH-7:1". The record is from RNAcentral. Lineage: Eukaryota; Metazoa; Chordata; Mammalia; Primates; Hominidae.
CUCAUCAGGCCGGAGCAGCUGGCCCAUGUCCUGGGGCACUAGGGAAGCUUGGUCAUCCUGCAGUGCGUGGUCCGCACCAGGAUCAGCUACACCCACUGGUACCAGCAGAAGGGCCAGGUCCCUGAGGCACUCCACCAGCUGGCCAUGUCCAAGUUGGAUGUGCAGUGGGAUUCCAUCCUGAAAGCAGAUAAAAUCAUAGCCAAGGAUGGCAGCAGCUCUAUCUUGGCAGUACUGAAGUUGGAGACAGGCAUCGAGGGCAUGAACUACUGCACAACCUGGGCCCUG